GGGGCAUGGGGCACGCCGGAGUGAUUGAACCCCACACACCCAGGGAGAUUCCCAUUCAGGCCUUACACCAUCUCCUCACCGUUCACCCCCAGCUGGGCUGAGGACCCAAAGAUGCCCACGCUGUGAAAUAUGGGGGCAACUUGGAGCCCCCUCUCCUGAUUUCCUCCUCCUUCUCUUCUUCCUUAGUCUUUAUUUUCUUUGUUUUUAAUUCCAGGUCUCUGGGGCCCUGAGCCACGAGGGUUCCUCGGAUCUCAGUCCCAUAAUCAGCACAUUGGGUUGGGCUCAUCCCUCUGGGCCCGUGUGCCGUCUGGGCCCCCCCACAUGCAUCUCACUCACCGCUGGGCCCCCCCAUGCCCGCAGCCGGCUCCGCACACACAGAGAAGGGCACAGGGGGGCAUUCCUGGAAGGCGCGCCUGAUGGAGUCCACAAAUGGGCCGAGUGAUACCACCAGGCUGGCAAGAUUCGCCAUGCCUCGUUUCCCUGCCAGCUCAGUGUGGACGCGGCCAGGCCCCGCCGCCUCCGUCCCACCCGCCCGGCCCGUGGCUAGGAGGCCUCAUCCCCAUGUCGCAGCUGGGGGAGCUGGAGAGCAUCUGUGCUGGGCUUGAGUGCCCUUGGCAGGGUGGAGAUUUCUCCCUCUCGGCCUCUUAUUACCCACAGACGCAGCAUCUGGACGGCUUCGUUGGAAGGGGUCCCAGGGGGCCUGUGGUCUGACCCUCCUCCCCAUCCGCUGCAGCCCUGGCUCCACUCUGGGGCCGUGAUCUCUCCCUACCCACCCCUGCAGGGUCCUGAGCAUCUCCAGAACAGCGGGGGUGGGGUGGGAGGGCUGGGUCACCCCUUGGCCCCAGGACACUCUCCGGAAACGUGUUCUGCGGAGACAAGAGGUGUGGGGGUGGUUUGUGUCUGAGUUUAAACUGUGCUUGGCCCUGGGGGAAGGUUCUGGACAACUGGGAAGCAGCAUACCUCCCCCAUCCCCACCCAGGCUCGCUCAGAAGGAAGGAGGGGAAAAGAGGCGACAGGGCGGAGGGCCUGGGGGCCGUGCGCACCUCCGGGCGGCGCCUGCCUCGGGGGACCGAGGAGGGCAGAGGGCUGUCCCUCCCCAGUUCCAAGCAGGGAUUCUGCCCGCCUCUGCUUGCAAUUCCUGCACAAGCCCCUCCCUGCUCGGCACCCCAUCCCAUCACCAUAGCAACCCAUUCUGCGAUGGGCACCGUUGGGGGAGGCAGGAGAGCCCAGAGAGAGGACCUUUGUCCCCCUUUUUUCAUAUUUUGUUGUCCUGGGGACGACUCAUCCAGGAACAGUAUCGUUUUCUGGGACAUUCUGCUCCCCUCCGCCCUCCAGACGCUCCAGAGCUGGAAAAGCCCACGAUGCAGGAAGCUCCUCUCGGGACCUCAGCAACAGAACCUGGCCUGCCCGGGGCCCAGCGUCCAGACACCGGGUCAUGUGACUGUUCGCAGCACCCCAAUUCCAUCUAGCUGUGUCCGAGGCAGAGACGCGAGGGGCCACGAGGUGUCACUGGGGAGUGACUGUGCCGCCCCGAAGAGCCCUAGGGGGACUCAGGGUGCUGUUCAGAGGAGUAAGUGAAGAAAGACACAGGGGAUUGUCAUGAGUCCCCAAGGCCCUGGUCUUCCUUGGAGCAGGGCUCCCGCCUUCCUCAGUGCCCCCCAGAGCAGCCCCCUCGUAGGGCUCCCCAGCAA
This 1691-nucleotide long non-coding RNA is filed under the name Canis lupus familiaris (dog). RNAcentral describes it as "lncRNA (ENSCAFG00030006048.1)". Lineage: Eukaryota; Metazoa; Chordata; Mammalia; Carnivora; Canidae. The record is from RNAcentral.